GACGUAGGGGGCGAGCGUUGUCCGGAAUUACUAGGCGUAAAGGGCAGGCAGGCGGAUCCAUAAGUUUAUCGUUUAAGGCGUCGGCUUAACCGGCGUAGGGCGGUAGAUACUGUGGAUCUGGAAUGCGGUUGGGGAAGACAGAAUUCCUGGUGUAGCGGUGGAAUGCGCAGAGAUCAGGAGGAAUACCGAAGGCGAAGGCAGUCUUCCAAGCCGUUAUUGACGCUCAACUGCGAAGGUGUGGGUAUCAAACAGGAUUAGAUACCCUGGUAGUCCCUGA
This 277-nucleotide ribosomal RNA is filed under the name uncultured prokaryote. RNAcentral describes it as "partial 16S ribosomal RNA". It matches the Rfam family "Bacterial small subunit ribosomal RNA", at positions 524 to 800 of the family's 1533-position model. The record is from RNAcentral.